AGCAGCCGCGGUAAUUCCAGCUCCAAUAGCGUAUAUUAAAGUUGUUGCAGUUAAAAAGCUCGUAGUUGAAUUUCGGGGUUAGUAAGUUGGUCAUGCCUUUGGUAUGCACUGGCUUUACUGAUUCCUCCUUCUUGACGAACCGUGAUGUCAUUAAUUUGGUGUUGCGGGAAAUCAGGACUGUUACUUUGAAAAAUUAGAGUGUUUAAAGCAGGCUAACGCUUGAAUACAUUAGCAUGGAAUAAUGAAAUAGGACGUUAAUCCUAUUUUGUUGGUUUCUAGGAUCGACGUAAUGAUUAAUAGGGAUAGUUGGGGGCAUUAGUAUUCAAUUGUCAGAGGUGAAAUUCUUGGAUUUAUUGAAGACUAACUACUGCGAAAGCAUUUGCCAAGGAUGUUUUCAUUAAUCAAGAACGAAAGUUAGGGGAUCGAAGACGAUCAGAUACCGUCGUAGUC
This 450-nucleotide ribosomal RNA is filed under the name uncultured Glomus. Its description in RNAcentral is "SSU rRNA". It matches the Rfam family "Eukaryotic small subunit ribosomal RNA", at positions 569 to 1025 of the family's 1831-position model. The record is from RNAcentral. Lineage: Eukaryota; Fungi; Glomeromycota; Glomeromycetes; Glomerales; Glomeraceae.